RNAcentral lists this ribosomal RNA (406 nucleotides) under uncultured bacterium. RNAcentral describes it as "partial 16S ribosomal RNA". It matches the Rfam family "Bacterial small subunit ribosomal RNA", at positions 30 to 526 of the family's 1533-position model. The record is from RNAcentral.
AUUGAACGCUGGCGGCAGGCCUAACACAUGCAAGUCGAACGCGUGGCGGACGGGUGAGUAAUGUCUGGGAAACGGCCUGAUGGAGGGGGAUAACUACGGGAAAGGUUAGCUAAUCCCGCAUACAAUCAGAUUGUCCAAGAUGGGAUUAGCUGGUGGGGGUGGUAACGGCUCACCAAGGCGCCGAUCCCUAGCUGGUCUGAGUGGAUGACCAGCCACACUGGAACUGAGCCACGGUCCAGACUCCUACGGGAGGCAGCAGUGGGGAAUAUUGCACAAUGGGCGCAAGCCUGAUGCAGCCAUGCCGCGUGUAUGAAGAAGGCCUUCGGGUUGUAAAGUACUUUCAGCGGGGAGGCGUUACCCGCAGAAGAAGCACCGGCUAACUCCGUGCCAGCCGCCGCGGUAAUUC